UACGAAGGGGGCUAGCGUUGUUCGGAUUUACUGGGCGUAAAGCGCACGUAGGCGGAUCGUUAAGUCGGGGGUGAAAUCCUGGAGCUCAACUCCAGAACUGCCUUCGAUACUGGCGAUCUUGAGUCCGGAAGAGGUGAGUGGAACUCCUAGUGUAGAGGUGGAAUUCGUAGCUAUUAGGAAGAACACCAGUGGCGAAGGCGGCUCACUGGUCCGGUACUGACGCUGAGGUGCGAAAGCGUGGGGAGCAAACAGG
This 253-nucleotide ribosomal RNA is filed under the name uncultured bacterium. RNAcentral's name for it is "partial 16S ribosomal RNA". It matches the Rfam family "Bacterial small subunit ribosomal RNA", at positions 524 to 776 of the family's 1533-position model. The record is from RNAcentral.